This 942-nucleotide ribosomal RNA is filed under the name Achatinella sowerbyana. RNAcentral describes it as "16S ribosomal RNA". Lineage: Eukaryota; Metazoa; Mollusca; Gastropoda; Stylommatophora; Achatinellidae. The record is from RNAcentral.
CCCGAAAAAAAAUGAUCUAUAGUAAAAAUUUAAUUUUAGAAAAAGAAAAUUGAUUGUAAUAUAAAUCUAUAAAAAUUUUUCUAUUGGAGUGAAAGGCUUUUCAUAUUUUUUUAUAUCUGGAUUAAAGGGAAAUGUAUUUAGUACAAAAAAAUUAUAAAUAAGUAGUGAUAAGAUUAUUUAUUUGGAGGAAAAAUUAAAAUUAAUUAUAUUAUAUAAUAAAUUUAAAAUUUAUAAAUUAAAUAUAAAAUUAUUGUAAAAUAAUUUCUUUUUAUUAUUACCUUUUUAUUUUUAAAUAAUUUUUUUUUAAAAAUAAUUAUGUUUAAAUAAGUAGAAAUUUUAUUUAUUAAAAACUUAUAAGGAACUCGGCAAAAUUAUUAUUUUUAACUGUUUAACAAAAACAUAGCUUGUUGUAUAUAAAUAAUAAGUUAUUUCUGCCCUGUGAUUUUAUAUUAAUUAUUUAACGGCCGCAGUACUUUGACUGUGCUAAGGUAGCAAAAUAAAUAGGCUUUUAAUUGAAGUCGAGAAUGAAAGGAAAAAUUGAAAUAAACUGUCUUAAAGGUUUUUUUUAAAAAUUACUAAUAUGGUGAAAAUUCCAUAAUAAAUUUUAAUAGACGAGAAGACCCUAUGAAUUAUAUUAUUAAAAGUUAAAUCGUUUAAUUUUAAUUUUUGUUGGGGCAACAAAGAAUAAAUAAAAAUUCUAAAUUUACUAUUAAUAUUUGAAGUUUUACUAUAAAUAAAUUUAAUUACCUUAGGGAUAACAGCAUAAUUAUUUUAAUAGAUUAUGACCUCGAUGUUGGAUUAAGAAAUAAUAUAAUUAACAAUUAUAUUAUUAAGUUCUGUUCGAACAAAUACUUUCUUACAUGAUCUGAGUUCAGACCGGCGUAAGCCAGGUCAGUUUCUAUCUUUUAAUAUGUUUUUAUUAGUACGAAAGGACCAUAAUAA